GACGAACGCUGGCGGCGUGCUUAACACAUGCAAGUCGAACGGUGAAGGGAUCAGCUUGCUGGUUCUGGAUGAGUGGCGAACGGGUGAGUAACACGUGAGUAACCUGCCCCCUUCUUCUGGAUAACCGCAUGAAAGUGUGGCUAAUACGGGAUAUUCUGCGCCUGCUGCAUGGUGGGUGUGGGAAAGAUAUUGUUUCGGUGGGGGAUGGGCUCGCGGCCUAUCAGCUUGUUGGUGGGGUGAUGGCCUACCAAGGCGGUGACGGGUAGCCGGCCUGAGAGGGUGGACGGUCACACUGGGACUGGGACACGGCCCAGACUCCUACGGGAGGCAGCAGUGGGGAAUAUUGCACAAUGGGCGCAAGCCUGAUGCAGCGACGCCGCGUGAGGGAGGGAGGCCUUCGGGUUGUGAACCUCUUUCGACAGUGAAGCAGGCCUGUCCCUUGUGGGUGGGUUGACGGUAGCUGGAUAAGAAGCGCCGGCUAACUACGUG
Molecule: ribosomal RNA, 489 nt
Filed under: uncultured bacterium
Lineage: Bacteria
Description: partial 16S ribosomal RNA
Rfam family: Bacterial small subunit ribosomal RNA
Source: RNAcentral